This 392-nucleotide ribosomal RNA is filed under the name uncultured bacterium. RNAcentral describes it as "bacterial SSU rRNA". It matches the Rfam family "Bacterial small subunit ribosomal RNA", at positions 39 to 418 of the family's 1533-position model. The record is from RNAcentral.
GAUUUCGAUUUGGAUCCCACGGCCUAACACAUGCAAGUGGAAGGGUAACGGAGAGAGCUUGCUCUCUUGCUGACGAGUGGCGGACGGGUGAGUAAUGCUAGGAAUCUGCCCAUGUAGUGGGGGACAACUCCGGGAAACCGGAGCUAAACCGCAUAAGCCCUACGGGGGAAAGCAGGGGAUCUUCGGACCUUGCGCUUUGGAUGAGCCUAAGUCGGAUUAGGUUUUUGGUGGGGUAAGAAGAAACCANGCNACGAUCCGUAGCUGGUCUGAGAGGAUGACCAGCCACACUGGGACGAGACACGGGCCACACUCCUACGGGAGGCGGNAGUGGGGAAUAUUGGACAUGGGGCGCGAGCCUGAUCCAGCAAUGCCGCGUGUGUGAAAAAGGCCUG